Molecule: ribosomal RNA, 468 nt
Filed under: uncultured bacterium
Lineage: Bacteria
Description: partial 16S ribosomal RNA
Rfam family: Bacterial small subunit ribosomal RNA
Source: RNAcentral
GACGAACGCUGGCGGCGUGCUUAAUACAUGCAAGUCGAACGGAAAGGCCCUGCUUUUGCUGGGUGCUCGAGUGGCGAACGGGUGAGUAAAACGUGAGUAACCUGCCCUUGACUUUGGGAUAACUUCAGGAAACUGGGGCUAAUACCGGAUAGGAGCUCCUGCUGCAUGGUGGGGGUUGGAAAGUUUCGGCGGUUGGGGAUGGACUCGCGGCUUAUCAGCUUGUUGGUGGGGUAGUGGCUUACAAAGGCUUUGACGGGUAGCCGGCCUGGGAGGGUGAACGGCCACAUGGGGACUGAGAGAGGGCCCAGACGCCUACGGGAGGCAGCAGUCGGGAGUAUUGCGCAAUGGGCGGAAGCCUGAUGCAGCAGCCCCGCGUGCGUGAUGACGGCCUUCGGGUUGUAAACCGCUUUCGCCUGUGACGAAGCGUGAGUGACGGUAAUGGGUAAAGAAGCACCGGCUAACUACGUG